RNAcentral lists this ribosomal RNA (450 nucleotides) under uncultured bacterium. Its description in RNAcentral is "partial 16S ribosomal RNA". It matches the Rfam family "Bacterial small subunit ribosomal RNA", at positions 338 to 795 of the family's 1533-position model. The record is from RNAcentral.
CCUACGGGUGGCUGCAGUGGGGAAUAUUGCGCAAUGGGCGAAAGCCUGACGCAGCCACGCCGCGUGAGCGAUGAAGGCCUUCGGGUCGUAAAGCUCUGUGGGGAGAGAAGAAUAAAGCCUGUGAAGAGCGGGCCUUGACGGUAUCUCCUUAGCAAGCACCGGCUAACUCCGUGCCAGCAGCCGCGGUAAUACGGAGGGUGCGAACGUUGUUCGGAUUCAUUGGGCGUAGGCGGCGAGUUAAGUGCGGUGUGAAAGCCCCGGGCUCAACCCGGGAAGUGCAUUCAAAACUGUUUCGCUUGAAUCUCGGAGGGGGUCAGAGAAUUCCCGGUGUAGAGGUGAAAUUCGUAGAUAUCGGGAGGAAUACCAGUGGCGAAGGCGCUGACCUGGACGAAGAUUGACGCUGAGGUGCGAAAGCGCGGGGAGCAAACAGGAUUAGAUACCCCGGUAGUC